GCAGACUGCCUCCGCUCUAAUCUCAAGUUGUGAACCAUGGCCGUGCCAUGCGUUCGCCUCGCCCUCCUCCUCUGUUUGCUGAUCCCAGCCACCGCCGCCUCACCUCGGAGCCGGAGCCCACGCAAAUCCCCAGCCAGAGCGUCCGCGUCGCGGCCGACCGCCUUCUUCGAGGUGGACCGCCCGCCACGCCCACGCGGCGGCUCCGGCCGGUGCUCCACGCUCCUGCUGUCCGCCUCCUUCGCCUCCACCUUCGACAAGCCCCCCGCCACCGCCGCCUACUCCCCGCCGCGCUGCCUCGUCAAGGCGGGCGGCCGCGCCUCGGCCAUCUCCCUCGCGGUGCUCGAGUGGCGCGCCGCCUGCCAGGGAGCCCAGCUCGACAGGAUCUUCGGCGUCUGGCUCGCCGGCGCCGAGCUCCUCCGCGGCAGCACCGCCGCGCCGCCGCCCAACGGCAUCGUCUGGUCCGUCUCCAAGGACGUCACCAAGUACGCGUCCCUCCUCGCCGCCGCCGGCAACUCCACCUUCGCCGUCUACCUCGGCAACCUCGUCAACACCACGCUCACCGGCGUGUACCAUGCCAACGUCACGCUCCACCUCUACCUCCGCCGCACGCCGACGACCAAGCCGCCGCCCGCCACGGCCCCCGCCGACCUCAUCGUCCCGAUGGCGCGAGCCCUCCCUCCCAACGGCGGGCUGUGGUUCCCGAUCCAGAGCGCCGCCGACGUCGCGUCCAAGAGCGUCGCGAUGCCAUCCAACACCUACCGCGCGGUCCUCGAACUCUACGUCUCGUUCCAUGAAGACGACGAGUUAUGGUACAAGAACGAAACCCGGGUACCAGAACGGCCCGUUCCGCGAGGUCACCGCUCGCGUCGACGGUGUCCUCGCCGGCUCCGUCUGCCCGUUCCCCGUCAUCUACCCCGGCGGCAUCUACCCCCUCCUAUGGAGGCCGAUCGCCCCCAUCGGCUCCUUCAACCUCCCGACGUACGACAUCGACCUGACUCCUUUUCUCGGCAAGCUGCUGGACGGCAAGGCGCACGAGUUCGCGUUCGCCGUGACCAACGCCGUGGGCGUGUGGUACGUCAACGCCAACCUCCACCUCUGGCUGGACCCCGAGGGCACCGCGACGACGGCGGGCCUCGUGAGCUACGUCGCGCCGCCGGCGAACACGACGUCGUCCAAGUCUGCCGACCCCGUCGACACCCACUACCACGCGACGGCGAACCGGCUCGUCUCCUCCACCGGGUGGGUGAAGUCAUCGUACGGGAACAUAACGACCAACGCCACGCGCACGUUCGCCCUCGAGUACCUCCUCACCUUCGAGACACUGGACCUGACCAUCGUUGCGGACACCGGCGUCGUCGCCACGGACGGCGCCGGCGGCGUCCUGUUCUCGACGCAGACGCACGGGAACUUCCCGCUUGGCUGGGUCUAUCAACAGAAUAGUCUAACCGUCACGCACGGGUUGGAGGAGACGACGGUGGCCGCCGGCCGGUGGUCGUCGGCGCCGCCGUACUAGUCGCUGCGCACCACGCAGAGCAGCCUCGUGGAGGAUGAGGAGGGAGGCGGGCGCUCAUGGGGCGUCCAGCAGACGUACUGGUACAACGCCACCGACGGGUGCUACUUCAGGAACGUGACCAGCAGCAACUACAGCGUCGUGUCGGACCACUCCAAUGAGUUCUGCGUGAAGGGGACGGCAUCCGCCGGAGUUGGCGCUGUCACGGCCGCGCUACCGGCGGUGAAUCUUCCAUAGUUACUUUUAACUUUUCGGAAUUGCUAAUUUUCAUAUGGAUGAAAACUAUUGGCUUUCAUCCGUUUUUUGGGCCGUGCGAUCUGUGUCACGAGAUUUGUAUUUUUCUUCGCUAGCGGAUCCGUUAGGUUCCGCUCGCUAUCCCGCAUCGGUGCUUUUUUUUCCCUACCCGUGUAGCUUCCCCUAUCUCUUCCCCUUGCCGCUUGAUCCCCUUUGUCAUUUCGAACACUACCACGGCGAUUGCCAUGGCGAUUUGGAGCUCCCCCUCGCCGCUCGAUCCAGCUGGUUGGUGAUGACUUGUCCGUGCUCUCCCUCCCUCUGCCUCGCCCCCUCCGCCUCGCCGCUGUUUCUCCCGCCGAAGGCCUGCAGCAUCUCUCGCCCCCCUCAUCCACCCCGGCCCCAUUAUUUCGCCACCCGUCAAUUUUGUUCGUCUGAUUUGAUUCAUAAUUUCAUCAGGCUUUGGGAAUGUGUAUAUCACUCCUAUGAUGCAUAAAAGGAUUAAUUUUCGAAGAGUUUGAUGUGUUGCACCCAGCUGUUCCUAAGCAAGAUAAUCGCCAUGAUUGUGGUGUCUUUACAUUUAAGUAUAUGGAUAUCUUCACACCAAGAACUCAGAUGUCAAUCCUUUUCUCCAGUGUAGACAUUCCAAAUCUUAGGAUCAAAUAUGUGAAUGACAUGCAUUUUCAGCCCCUUGAACAGUUCUGACAAAUCUUUUGUCACUGAUUUCUUUGGUGAUGGAGGCAAUGCCAAGUGAGGUUCAGCAUGUGCGCAGUCCUAGCUCAAAUGGUGACUGAGUUUUAUUUUUCAGUAGCAUGUAAUCUGAACAAAGUAGCAUGCAAUCUGAGCAUAGUAGUAUUUGUUUAGUAGUGGUUCUAUGUUUCAUUUUGAUUGUAAGGUUGUUGGAUACUGCCAUGUCUUUAUGCCUGUGACUCGGCAGUACGUAUUUGAGCACGUUAAUACUACAGUGCUUAAAAAAUUGAUUCUAUAUCAGGGGUCCCUUUCUUAA
Triticum aestivum (bread wheat) is the source of this 2747-nucleotide RNA transcript. It is a transcript of the gene named peptide-N4-(N-acetyl-beta-glucosaminyl)asparagine amidase A-like, with no coding region annotated. NCBI's taxonomy places the organism in Eukaryota, Viridiplantae, Streptophyta, Magnoliopsida, Poales, Poaceae. The record is from RefSeq and is a predicted model, not a curated record. The transcript has 6 exons.